UACCGGGAACCGAACUCAUGACCUUGCGCAUGCCAGGCAGGCGCUUUUGCCGCUGAGCUAAAGCCCCAGCCCCUAGGAAUUUUGUAAACAAUUAAAAACUCCAAGGUAGAACAUGGUCAGAGACUGUGGAUAAGGAAUCUGAGGUUUGGAAGGCGGGUUACUUGCCCAGGAUCACACAACUACUAAAUGGUAGAGCUGAGAUAUAAACCCAGGGUUUCAUGGGCUGAUUCCCAGCUUUGUGCCUGGCUGGUUUUCAAAACUACCACCCACAUUCUGAUACCCUUGUCAGCCAUGGAGCACCAUAACUCCACCAACUUUCAUGGACAAGAUCCAAUCUUAGCUCCUCCCAAACUUUUCCCACUCACUCUGAUCCUUUCUUCCAAUUCUUGGAAACCCUCAUCAAAUACAUCACAGAAGCCUGGCUUUUCUCACUAAAUACUCUUCUCACUAAGGACCCACAGCAGCUGCUGUCAGCAAUCAAGAAAAAACAAAGAAUGUGUU
Chinchilla lanigera (long-tailed chinchilla) is the source of this 501-nucleotide long non-coding RNA. RefSeq lists it as uncharacterized. The record is from RefSeq and is a predicted model, not a curated record. The transcript is spliced from 3 exons. NCBI's taxonomy places the organism in Eukaryota, Metazoa, Chordata, Mammalia, Rodentia, Chinchillidae.